UAGCGAAAUGUUUGUCGAGAAGGGUUGUAGCUGGCCUUGUUUGGCACGUGCACGCCUGGAUCACAAAUUUCACCCUUCACAACCUGUGCACACACCUUGCAGCUUUGGAUGAUACGGAAUGGGUCUUUGAUCCUGAUGCAUCGGCCUCAGCUGUAAGCUUUUAUCACACACACUUAGUCAAGUAUAAGAAUGUAACUGUCGCAGCGUGUAACAGCGCGAAAUAUACAACUUUCAGCAACGGAUCUCUUGGCUCUCGCAUCGAUGAAGAACGCAGCGAAAUGCGAUAAGUAAUGUGAAUUGCAGAAUUCAGUGAAUCAUCGAAUCUUUGAACGCACCUUGCGCUCCUUGGUAUUCCGAGGAGCAUGCCUGUUUGAGUGUCAUGAAAUUCUCAACUGCCUUUUGUGUGGGUUUCCGCUCCCACAAGGGUGAAGUUGGAUUUGGAGGAUUAUCUUGCUGGCGCUCUUCAUUGAGCUCUGUCGGCUCCUCUCGAAUGCAUAAGCUUUCCAAUGCCUUUUUGCGAAGCGACUCUGACGUGAUAAUCAUUUACGUUUGACGUUGAAUUUGCUAUGGGCACAAAUGGAUGGUAAAAAUGCAGGUUGUGCCUUCUGGGUGCGCCUUUGACAAAUUCGACCUCAAAUCAGGUAGGACUACCCGCUG
RNAcentral lists this ribosomal RNA (657 nucleotides) under uncultured Phellodon. RNAcentral's name for it is "eukaryotic LSU rRNA". The stretch from base 227 to 380 matches the Rfam family "5.8S ribosomal RNA". Lineage: Eukaryota; Fungi; Basidiomycota; Agaricomycetes; Thelephorales; Thelephoraceae. The record is from RNAcentral.